GGGGGACGCAGUAGGAUAGGCGAAGCGUGCGAUUGGAUUGCACGUCUAAGCAGUAAGGCUGAGUAUUAGGCAAAUCCGGUACUCAUUAAGGCUGAGCUGUGAUGGGGAGAAGACAUUGUGUCUUCGAGUCGUUGAUUUCACACUGCCGAGAAAAGCCUCUAGAUAGAAAAUAGGUGCCCGUACCGCAAACCGACACAGGUAGUCAAGAUGAGAAUUCUAAGGUGAGCGAGCGAACUCUCGUUAAGGAACUCGGCAAAAUGACCCCGUAACUUCGGGAGAAGGGGUGCUCUUUAGGGUUAACGCCCAGAAGAGCCGCAGUGAAUAGGCCCAAGCGACUGUUUAUCAAAAACACAGGUCUCUGCUAAACCGUAAGGUGAUGUAUAGGGGCUGACGCCUGCCCGGUGCUGGAAGGUUAAGAGGAGUGGUUAGCUUCUGCGAAGCUACGAAUCGAAGCCCCAGUAAACGGCGGCCGUAACUAUAACGGUCCUAAGGUAGCGAAAUUCCUUGUCGGGUAAGUUCCGACCCGCACGAAAGGCGUAACGAUUUGGGCACUGUCUCAACGAGAGACUCGGUGAAAUCAUAGUACCUGUGAAGAUGCAGGUUACCCGCGACAGGACGGAAAGACCCCGUGGAGCUUUACUGUAGCCUGAUAUUGAAAUUCGGCACAGCUUGUACAGGAUAGGUAGGAGCCUUUGAAACGUGAGCGCUAGCUUACGUGGAGGCGCUGGUGGGAUACUACCCUAGCUGUGUUGGCUUUCUAACCCGCACCA
RNAcentral lists this ribosomal RNA (770 nucleotides) under Staphylococcus aureus. Its description in RNAcentral is "partial 23S ribosomal RNA". It matches the Rfam family "Bacterial large subunit ribosomal RNA", at positions 1467 to 2234 of the family's 2925-position model. Lineage: Bacteria; Bacillati; Bacillota; Bacilli; Caryophanales; Staphylococcaceae. The record is from RNAcentral.